GUUUGAUCCUGGCUCAGGACGAACGCUGGCGGCACGCUUAACACAUGCAAGUCGAACGAACUCUUCGGAGUGAGUGGCAGACGGGUUAGUAACACGUGGGAACCUACCCUUUAGUACGGAAUAACGUCGAGAAAUUGUCGCUAAUACCGUAUACGCCCUUCGGGGGAAAGAUUUAUCGCUAAAGGAUGGGCCCGCGGCAGAUUAGCUUGUUGGUGAGGUAAUGGCUUACCAAGGCGACGAUCUGUAGCUGGUCUGAGAGGAUGAUCAGCAACACUGGGACUGAGACACGGCCCAGACUCCUACGGGAGGCAGCAGUGGGGAAUAUUGGACAAUGGGCGAAAGCCUGAUCCAGCGAUGCCGCGUGGAUGAUGAAGGCCCUAGGGUUGUAAAGUCCUUUCGAUGGUGAAGAUAAUGACGGUAACCAUUAAAGAAGCCCCGGCUAAUUUCGUGCCAGCAGCCGCGGUAAUACGAAAGGGGCAAGCGUUGUUCGGAAUUACUGGGCGUAAAGCGCGCGUAGGCGGCAUGCCAAGUUGGGGGUGAAAUCCCGGAGCUCAACUCCGGAACUGCCUCCAAAACUGGCAAGCUAGAG
RNAcentral lists this ribosomal RNA (589 nucleotides) under uncultured Alphaproteobacteria bacterium. RNAcentral's name for it is "bacterial SSU rRNA". It matches the Rfam family "Bacterial small subunit ribosomal RNA", at positions 11 to 646 of the family's 1533-position model. Lineage: Bacteria; Pseudomonadati; Pseudomonadota; Alphaproteobacteria. The record is from RNAcentral.